This 498-nucleotide ribosomal RNA is filed under the name uncultured bacterium. RNAcentral describes it as "partial 16S ribosomal RNA". It matches the Rfam family "Bacterial small subunit ribosomal RNA", at positions 29 to 523 of the family's 1533-position model. The record is from RNAcentral.
AUUGAACGCUGGCGGCAUGCCUUACACAUGCAAGUCGAACGGUAACGCGGGGCAACCUGGCGACGAGUGGCGAACGGGUGAGUAAAGCAUCGGAACGUGCCCAGUAGUGGGGGAUAGCCCGGCGAAAGCCGGAUUAAUACCGCAUACGACCUAUGGGUGAAAGGGGGGGAUCGCAAGACCUCUCGCUAUUGGAGCGGCCGAUGUCAGAUUAGGUAGUUGGUGGGGUAAAGGCCUACCAAGCCGACGAUCUGUAGCUGGUCUGAGAGGACGACCAGCCACACUGGGACUGAGACACGGCCCAGACUCCUACGGGAGGCAGCAGUGGGGAAUUUUGGACAAUGGGCGCAAGCCUGAUCCAGCCAUGCCGCGUGCGGGGAGAAGGCCUUCGGGUUGUAAACCGCUUUUGUCAGGGAAGAAAUCCUUUGGGUUAAUACCUCGGGGGGAUGACGGUACCUAAAGAAUAAGCACCGGCUAACUACGUGCCAGCCGCCGCGGUAA